AACGAACGCUGGCGGCAUGCCUUACACAUGCAAGUCGAACGGCAGCACGGGUGCUUGCAGCUGGUGGCGAGUGGCGAACGGGUGAGUAAUACAUCGGUACCUGGCCUGUAGCGGGGGGUAGCCCUGCGAAAGCCGGAUUAAUUCCGCAUACGGACUUCGGGCGAAAGGGUGGGGCCUUCGGGGCUUGGGCGGUUGGGUUGGGUGAGGCCUCAUUAGCUCGUUGGGGGGGUAAAGGGCUACCCAGGCGGCGAUCGGGAUCUGGUCGGAGAGGGCGACAGGCGACCUGGGGGGUGAGCCGGGGCCAAUACGCCUGCGGUAGGCCGCAGUGUGGAAUGUUAGGCAAUGGGGGAGAGCCUGAUACAGCAAUGCGGCGUGUGUGACGACGGCGCUGGGGUUGUGAAGCCCUUUUGUCCGGAGAGAACUACUUGGCCCUGAUACGGUGGGUGAAUGACGGUACCGGGAGAAUAAGCACCGGCUAACUACGUG
Molecule: ribosomal RNA, 486 nt
Filed under: uncultured bacterium
Lineage: Bacteria
Description: partial 16S ribosomal RNA
Rfam family: Bacterial small subunit ribosomal RNA
Source: RNAcentral